This 418-nucleotide RNase P RNA is filed under the name Micromonospora sp. Llam0. RNAcentral's name for it is "Bacterial RNase P class A". It matches the Rfam family "Bacterial RNase P class A". From Rfam's summary of the family: Ribonuclease P (RNase P) is a ubiquitous endoribonuclease, found in archaea, bacteria and eukarya as well as chloroplasts and mitochondria. Its best characterised activity is the generation of mature 5'-ends of tRNAs by cleaving the 5'-leader elements of precursor-tRNAs. Lineage: Bacteria; Bacillati; Actinomycetota; Actinomycetes; Micromonosporales; Micromonosporaceae. The record is from Rfam by way of RNAcentral.
CGAGUCGACCGGGCGGCCGCGUCAGCGGGGGAUACGUCCCCUGUUGCCGAGGAACGUCCGGACUCCACAGGGCAGGGUGGUUGCUAACGGCAACCCGGGGCGACCCGCGGGACAGUGCCACAGAAAACAGACCGCCGGGCGGUGAAACGCCCGGUAAGGGUGAAACGGUGGGGUAAGAGCCCACCAGCAUCCCGGGUGACCGGGAUGGCUCGGUAAACCCCACCCGGAGCAAGGCCAAGAGGGCCGGUGUCGCGAGACGCCGACCUGCGCAGGCGUUCGAGGGCUGCCCGCCCGAGUCUGCGGGUAGGCCGCUGGAGCCUGCCGGCGACGGUAGGCCUAGAUGGAUGGCCGCCACCGCUGCGCGACCGGGCAACCGGCGCGUACGGGACAGAAUCCGGCGUACAGGUCGACUCGUCCG